This 28-nucleotide small RNA is filed under the name Bombyx mori (domestic silkworm). RNAcentral's name for it is "ovarian small RNA-2815". Lineage: Eukaryota; Metazoa; Arthropoda; Insecta; Lepidoptera; Bombycidae. The record is from RNAcentral.
GUGCGGAAAGGGAAGAGCUCUCCCUCUC